UUGAGUUUGAUCCUGGCUCAGGACGAACGCUGGCGGCAUGCCUAAUACAUGCAAGUCGAACGAGCUUCCGUUGAAUGACGUGCUUGCACUGAUUUCAACAAUGAAGCGAGUGGCGAACUGGUGAGUAACACGUGGGAAAUCUGCCCAGAAGCAGGGGAUAACACUUGGAAACAGGUGCUAAUACCGUAUAACAACAAAAUCCGCAUGGAUUUUGUUUGAAAGGUGGCUUCGGCUAUCACUUCUGGAUGAUCCCGCGGCGUAUUAGUUAGUUGGUGAGGUAAAGGCCCACCAAGACGAUGAUACG
RNAcentral lists this ribosomal RNA (304 nucleotides) under Leuconostoc mesenteroides. Its description in RNAcentral is "bacterial SSU rRNA". It matches the Rfam family "Bacterial small subunit ribosomal RNA", at positions 1 to 283 of the family's 1533-position model. The record is from RNAcentral. Lineage: Bacteria; Bacillati; Bacillota; Bacilli; Lactobacillales; Lactobacillaceae.